UUGGAGGGCAAGUCUGGUGCCAGCAGCCGCGGUAAUUCCAGCUCCAAUAGCGUAUAUUAAAGUUGUUGCAGUUAAAAAGCUCGUAGUUGAAUUUCGGGGUUCUACCGUUGGUCGGGCUAACCAGUCUGUACUAGCGUGUAAAAUUCCUACCUUCUGGAGAACCAUCAUGUUAUUAAUUUAGCGUGGUGGGAAACCAGGACCUUUACCUUGAAAAAAUUAGAGUGUUCAAAGCAGGCUUACGUCUGAAUACAUUAGCAUGGAAUAAUAGAAUAGGACGGUGGUCCUGUUUUGUUGGUUUCUGAAUCACCGUAAUGAUUAAUAGGGAUAGUUGGGGGCAUUAGUAUUCAAUUGUCAGAGGUGAAAUUCUUGGAUUUAUUGAAGACUAACUUCUGCGAAAGCAUUUGCCAAGGAUGUUUUCAUUAAUCAAGAACGAAAGUUAGGGGAUCGAAGACGAUCAGAUACCGUCGUAGUCUUAACCAUAAACUAUGCCGACUAGGGAUCGGAUGAUGUUAAUUUUUUAAUGACUCGUUCGGCGCCUUACGGGAAAC
RNAcentral lists this ribosomal RNA (548 nucleotides) under uncultured Glomeromycotina. Its description in RNAcentral is "SSU rRNA". It matches the Rfam family "Eukaryotic small subunit ribosomal RNA", at positions 548 to 1098 of the family's 1831-position model. Lineage: Eukaryota; Fungi; Glomeromycota. The record is from RNAcentral.